This 116-nucleotide small nuclear RNA is filed under the name Microcebus murinus (gray mouse lemur). Its description in RNAcentral is "U5 spliceosomal RNA (ENSMICG00000020676.3)". It matches the Rfam family "U5 spliceosomal RNA". From Rfam's summary of the family: U5 RNA is a component of both types of known spliceosome. The precise function of this molecule is unknown, though it is known that the 5' loop is required for splice site selection and p220 binding, and that both the 3' stem-loop and the Sm site are important for Sm protein binding and cap methylation. The record is from Rfam by way of RNAcentral. Lineage: Eukaryota; Metazoa; Chordata; Mammalia; Primates; Cheirogaleidae.
AUACCCUGGUUUCUUUUUUGGAUCAAAUAAUUCUUUUGCCUUUUACUAAAGAUUUCUGUGGAGAGGAACAACUCUGAGUUUUUGAUCAAUUUUUUGAGGCCUGCUUUGGCAAGGCU